Molecule: non-coding RNA, 71 nt
Organism: Ameiurus melas (black bullhead)
Lineage: Eukaryota; Metazoa; Chordata; Actinopteri; Siluriformes; Ictaluridae
Source: the annotation of a GenBank genome assembly
GGACAUGAUGGCUUAGUGGUUAGUACAUUUGCCUCAACACAGGGUUGGGGGUUCGAUUCCCACCAUGGCCC